RNAcentral lists this ribosomal RNA (305 nucleotides) under uncultured bacterium. RNAcentral describes it as "bacterial SSU rRNA". It matches the Rfam family "Bacterial small subunit ribosomal RNA", at positions 337 to 658 of the family's 1533-position model. The record is from RNAcentral.
ACCUACGGGAGGCAGCAGUGGGGGAUAUUGCACAAUGGGGGAAACCCUGAUGCAGCGACGCCGCGUGAGUGAAGAAGUAUUUCGGUACGUAAAGCUCUAUCAGCAGGGAAGAAUAAUGACGGUACCUGACUAAGAAGCCCCGGCUAACUACGUGCCAGCAGCCGCGGUAAUACGUAGGGGGCAAGCGUUAUCCGGAUUUACUGGGUGUAAAGGGAGCGUAGACGGCUGUGCAAGCCAGGAGUGAAAGCCCGGGGCCCAACCCCGGGACUGCUCUUGGAACUGAAUGGCUGGAGUACAGGAGGGGG